GUGAAUCAUCGAAUUUUUGAACGCAAAGGGAAAGGGGGGGGAGUCAGGAAAGUAUGCCUGUUUGAGGGUCAGUUAAAUAAAAAUCGGUGUUGUUGCUGCUUUUCGUGGGGACACGUCGGAAUUGAGUUGUCUUACCUUCGGUUAAGUGACUUAAAAUUUUGCAUGAUUUUCGAACGUAUUUAAAUUUCUUACGUACGUUUGAGAUAUCGAAGACUGUAUUAGGUUCGGUCAUGAUCAUGAGGAGAAACUAUAAUUGUUCAUUAAAGGAAGUCAAAUCAGGUAAGAAUACCCGCUGAACUUA
This 301-nucleotide unclassified non-coding RNA is filed under the name Glomus sp. RNAcentral's name for it is "partial contains 5.8S ribosomal RNA, internal transcribed spacer 2, and large subunit ribosomal RNA". The record is from RNAcentral. Lineage: Eukaryota; Fungi; Glomeromycota; Glomeromycetes; Glomerales; Glomeraceae.